Molecule: ribosomal RNA, 450 nt
Filed under: uncultured bacterium
Lineage: Bacteria
Description: bacterial SSU rRNA
Rfam family: Bacterial small subunit ribosomal RNA
Source: RNAcentral
GUGGGGAAUAUUGGACAAUGGGCGAAAGCCUGAUCCAGCCAUGCCGCGUGUGUGAAGAAGGUCUUCGGAUUGUAAAGCACUUUAAGUUGGGAGGAAGGGCAGUAAGUUAAUACCUUGCUGUUUUGACGUUACCGACAGAAUAAGCACCGGCUAACUUCGUGCCAGCAGCCGCGGUAAUACGAAGGGUGCAAGCGUUAAUCGGAAUUACUGGGCGUAAAGCGCGCGUAGGUGGUUUUGUACGUUGGAGGUGAAAUCCCCGGGCUCAACCUGGGAACUGCCUCCAAAACUGCAUGACUAGAGUACGGUAGAGGGUAGUGGAAUUUCCUGUGUAGCGGUGAAAUGCGUAGAGAUCGGGAGGAACAUCCGUGGCGAAGGCGGCCAUCUGGACCAGCACUGACACUGAGGCACGAAAGCGUGGGGAGCAAACAGGAUUAGAAACCCGAGUAGUCC